Molecule: ribosomal RNA, 118 nt
Filed under: Pteropus alecto (black flying fox)
Lineage: Eukaryota; Metazoa; Chordata; Mammalia; Chiroptera; Pteropodidae
Source: RNAcentral
GUCUAUGGCCAUGCUACCCUGAACACACCAAUCCCAUCUGAUCUCUGAAGCUAAGCCGGGUCGGGCCUGGUUAGUACUUGGAUGGGAGACCACCUAGAAAGACCAAGUAUUAUAGGCG